This 460-nucleotide ribosomal RNA is filed under the name uncultured bacterium. RNAcentral's name for it is "partial 16S ribosomal RNA". It matches the Rfam family "Bacterial small subunit ribosomal RNA", at positions 338 to 795 of the family's 1533-position model. The record is from RNAcentral.
CCUACGGGCGGCAGCAGUGAGGAAUAUUGGUCAAUGGCCGUAAGGCUGAACCAGCCAAGCCGCGUGAAGGAAGAAGGUUCUAUGGUUUGUAAACUUCUUUUAUAGGGGAAUAAAGGUAUCCACGUGUGGAUAUUUGCAUGUACCCUAUGAAUAAGCAUCGGCUAACUCCGUGCCAGCAGCCGCGGUAAUACGGAGGAUGCGAGCGUUAUCCGGAUUGAUUGGGUUUAAAGGGUGCGUAGGUUGUUUUUUAAGUCAGCGGUGAAAGUUUGUGGCUCAACCAUAAAAUUGCCGUUGAAACUGGAAAACUUGAGUGUGUUUGAGGUAGGCGGAAUGCGUGGUGUAGCAGUGAAAUGCAUAGAUAUCACGCAGAACUCCGAUUGCGAAGGCAGCUAACUAAGCCAUAACUGACACUGAAGCACGAAAGCGUGGGGAUCAAACAGGAUUAGAUACCCGGGUAGUC